RNAcentral lists this long non-coding RNA (1141 nucleotides) under Anser brachyrhynchus (Pink-footed goose). Its description in RNAcentral is "lncRNA (ENSABRG00000023204.1)". Lineage: Eukaryota; Metazoa; Chordata; Aves; Anseriformes; Anatidae. The record is from RNAcentral.
UUUAUCAAGACAUGCAGAUUUUCCAUAGCAAGGAGUAAUGCUCUUUUUUUCCUUGCUUACCUUACAGGCACGGAUGGUAGACAGCCUUUCUCCUUGCAAGCAGAGGAAAAUACAGAAAUUGGAGCAGCAGAAUAUAACAUGAAAAGCUGUAGCAGUAGAAAAAGGCCAGCUGGUUCAACAUGCCAGUCCUUUUAAAGCAGAGCCAGAAAAAGAAGGAGGCUACAGAUCACUUAGACUAUGAUCAGUAUAACAGGGCAGCUGAUCAGAGGGAUGCAGCCUUUAGAACAAUGUUAGCUCUUGCAGACCCAGGAAGCAGAAUGGUAUUUUUCAAACUGAAGAUUUUGCUUCCAUUGUAACAGAUCAAACCAUCAUUUGGACCAGCAGUUCCCAUCCUCUCUCAGCCUGGUAAGCUGUUGUACAUUUAUUUUGGUGCGAGAUCUCUUCUAAAUGGGUUGCUGUAGCAUACAUCCACGUCCUGUUGUACAGAUAUCCCUUCCUCGCUUUUGUAAAAUAGAGAGAGUCUUAACUGUUCCUUUUUAUUAUCAGGAACAAAUACUUGGAUUUUAGCAAAAAUUAUUGAGGAAAAAAACAAGCAGACUUCUGACCCUUUGCUUGCAUCUCCUAGGGAUAUCACAAAAAUGCCUGCUAUAGACGUAUGCCACACUACUGUGACAUUUACUAUACUUCCUCAAUUUGCCAUUGCCUUUAAGUAUACACCGUACCACCUUGGUGUUCAGAACUUGUAGUCUAAUUGUGCAUGCAAUAUCGAUGCUUAAUGAAUAGCAUGGCAAUAGAAUGGCCAUACUAUUCAUUAAGGAUUCAGAAUUUAUACAGGGGUCCUCUUCUAGCUCCUGGGGGCAGGAGAAGGAUGAAAACAUGAGACAUUAUUAAACCUUGUAAGACUGCCACCCCUUGCCUCUGGCAGACUCGGGAGUGGGACUUAGCCUUUACAGGGAGGUUAUCAUCCAUAAUACAUAUUUACGCUCUGUCCAUCGUGUAUAAGAAUGCUCUCAGUAAAACUUAGAAAAGGCUAUAAUAAUACUUUGCACUUCUUUGUUGCCUUUCAUCACAAGAUUUCAUUGUGCCUUUAAAAGCUUUCAUUAACUAAAAUUCACAACCCCAUUGUGCAGUAACUGUGCAU